This 460-nucleotide ribosomal RNA is filed under the name uncultured bacterium. RNAcentral's name for it is "partial 16S ribosomal RNA". It matches the Rfam family "Bacterial small subunit ribosomal RNA", at positions 338 to 795 of the family's 1533-position model. The record is from RNAcentral.
CCUACGGGAGGCAGCAGUGAGGAAUAUUGGUCAAUGGACGAGAGUCUGAACCAGCCAAGUAGCGUGAAGGAUGACUGCCCUAUGGGUUGUAAACUUCUCUUAUCUGGGAAUAAAAUGUUCCACGUGUGGGAUUUUGUAUGUACCAUAUGAAUAAGGAUCGGCUAACUCCGUGCCAGCAGCCGCGGUAAUACGGAGGAUCCGAGCGUUAUCCGGAUUUAUUGGGUUUAAAGGGAGCGUAGGUGGAUUGUUAAGUCAGUUGUGAAAGUUUGCGGCUCAACCGUAAAAUUGCAGUUGAAACUGGCAGUCUUGAGUACAGUAGAGGUGGGCGGAAUGCGUGGUGUAGCGGUGAAAUGCUUAGAUAUCACGAAGAACUCCGAUUGCGAAGGCAGUUCACUGGACUGCAACUGACACUGAGGCUCGAAAGUGUGGGUAUCAAACAGGAUUAGAUACCCUUGUAGUC